CAUGCCGUAAACGAUGAAUGCUAAGUGUUGGAGGGUUUCCGCCCUUCAGUGCUGCAGCUAACGCAUUAAGCAUUCCGCCUGGGGAGUACGACCGCAAGGUUGAAACUCAAAAGAAUUGACGGGGGCCCGCACAAGCGGUGGAGCAUGUGGUUUAAUUCGAAGCUACGCGAAGAACCUUACCAGGUCUUGACAUCUUCUGCCAAUCUAAGAGAUUAGACGUUCCCUUCGGGGACAGAAUGACAGGUGG
RNAcentral lists this ribosomal RNA (247 nucleotides) under uncultured Pediococcus sp. RNAcentral's name for it is "partial 16S ribosomal RNA". It matches the Rfam family "Bacterial small subunit ribosomal RNA", at positions 796 to 1041 of the family's 1533-position model. Lineage: Bacteria; Bacillati; Bacillota; Bacilli; Lactobacillales; Lactobacillaceae. The record is from RNAcentral.